UUGGGACGAUGUGGAACGGGGCAAAGAAGAACGGAGCCAGAGACGAGCCGUGAAGUGAAGGGCAGGAUACAUUGAGCGCUGAUUUUUGCACAGCACAUCGCGGCCUCGGGUCCUUCCCGGGAGUC
Molecule: ribosomal RNA, 125 nt
Filed under: Peucetia viridana
Lineage: Eukaryota; Metazoa; Arthropoda; Arachnida; Araneae; Oxyopidae
Description: partial 5.8S ribosomal RNA
Source: RNAcentral